GGGCGCAUAGCUCAGCGGUAGAGCGCUUGCCUUACAAGCAAGAUGUCACUGGUUCGAUCCCAGUUGUGCCCACCC
This 75-nucleotide transfer RNA is filed under the name Streptomyces nanshensis. RNAcentral describes it as "tRNA-Val". It matches the Rfam family "tRNA". From Rfam's summary of the family: Transfer RNA (tRNA) molecules are approximately 80 nucleotides in length. Their secondary structure includes four short double-helical elements and three loops (D, anti-codon, and T loops). The record is from RNAcentral. RNAcentral also lists the same sequence under 1 other name. Lineage: Bacteria; Bacillati; Actinomycetota; Actinomycetes; Kitasatosporales; Streptomycetaceae.